UACGAAGGGGGCGAGCGUUGUUCGGAAUCAUUGGGCGUAAAGGGCGCGUAGGCGGGCUUGUAAGUCGAUUGUGAAAUCCCUGGGCUUAACCCGGGAAUUGCAGUCGAAACUGCAAGUCUUGAGUUCUCGAGAGGAUGGUGGAAUUCCUGGAGUAGUAGUGAAAUACGUAGAUAUCAGGAGGAACACCGGAGGCGAAGGCGGCCAUCUGGCGAGACACUGACGCUAAGGCGCGAAAGCGUGGGUAGCAAACAGG
Molecule: ribosomal RNA, 253 nt
Filed under: uncultured bacterium
Lineage: Bacteria
Description: partial 16S ribosomal RNA
Rfam family: Bacterial small subunit ribosomal RNA
Source: RNAcentral